UAGUCCACGCCGUAAACGAUGAUAACUCGAUGUUGGCAAUACACCGUCAGCGUCCAAGCGAAAGCGUUAAGUUAUCCACCUGGGGAGUACGAUCGCAAGGUUGAAACUCAAAGGAAUUGACGGGGGGCCCGCACAAGCGGAGGAGCAUGUGGUUUAAUUCGAUGAUACGCGAGGAACCUUACCUGGGCUCAAACGUAGAGUGACCGGCUGCGAAAGCAGUCUUCCCUUCGGGGCAGUCUACGAGGUGCUGCAUGGUUGUCGUCAGCUCGUGCCGUGAGGUGUCGGGUUAAGUCCCAUAACGAGCGCAACCCCUAUUCUUAGUUGCCAUCAGGUCAUGCUGGGGACUCUAAGAAAACUGCCUACGCAAGUAGUGAGGAAGGUGGGGAUGACGUCAAAUCAGCACGGCCCUUACGUCCAGGGCUACACACGUGCUACAAUGGUCGAUACAGAGGGCAGGCUACCUGGUGACAGGAUGCAAAUCUCGAAAAUCGAUCUCAGUUC
RNAcentral lists this ribosomal RNA (501 nucleotides) under uncultured bacterium. RNAcentral describes it as "bacterial SSU rRNA". It matches the Rfam family "Bacterial small subunit ribosomal RNA", at positions 791 to 1294 of the family's 1533-position model. The record is from RNAcentral.